RNAcentral lists this long non-coding RNA (783 nucleotides) under Brassica napus (rape). RNAcentral's name for it is "long non-coding RNA (BNAP_LNC023873)". The record is from RNAcentral. Lineage: Eukaryota; Viridiplantae; Streptophyta; Magnoliopsida; Brassicales; Brassicaceae.
AAUAUAGUUUAAUAUUACAUAAUAUUAUGUACUUUUUAUAUUUUGAUAUUUGGGUUUAGGUUUUAUAUUUAGGUUAGGGUUUAGUGAUUAUAGUUUACAGUUUAGUAUUCUAGAAGACGAAGGGGUAUGGUUGGGGUUAGCAUUAACUUCUUCCAUGCAAUCAUAGAUAUUUCAUAACUUCACCAGUAAAUACUAUGUCAUUUAUUGUUUUCCAUUCUAUUUGGGUUUAAGAUUUAUAUUUAGGUUAAGGUUUAUAUCUGGGUUUAGUGAUUAAAGUUGGUUUAUAUUUGGGUUUAGAGUUUAGUAAUUAGGUUUUAGGACUUAGUAUUUAGUAGGUGAGGGUAUAGUUGAGAUCAACAUUAACUUAUUCCAUGCAAUCAUAUAUGUUUCAUAAUUUCACCAAUAUGUACUAUACUAUAUAUUUUGUUCCAUUCUAUUUGGGUUUAUGGUUUAUACUUGGGUUUAUGAUUUAUAUUUGGGUUUAUAGUUUAGUAACUAGGGUUUAGAGUUUAGUAAUUAGGGUUUAGUAAUUAGGGUUUAGAGUUUCUUAUUUAUGAGUUGGGGUUGGGAUAGUGUUUAGUAUUUAACGAUUGUGGAUGUUGUUGCAUCCUCCUAUACUAUUUUGGCGAUAUGGAAUGGAACACUACAUACAUAUGUAUGUGGUCAAUAAACGUGUAACGUGGAUGUCUCUUUUCUUUCAUAUGGCAUAGUUUUAAGUCACUCCUCACCAUAUAUUAUUUGUGAUACGUCAUGUUUACCGAGUAACUGUAAGUAGAAAUGGUA